This is an unclassified non-coding RNA of Acromyrmex echinatior (Panamanian leafcutter ant), 4522 nucleotides long. NCBI's taxonomy places the organism in Eukaryota, Metazoa, Arthropoda, Insecta, Hymenoptera, Formicidae. The record is from RefSeq and is a predicted model, not a curated record.
UUUCUCUCUCUCUUUCUAUCUCUCUCUCUCUUUUCUUUCCUUUCCUCCCUUUUUAACGUUUUUCAAUUCGCCGCCACGCUUUUCAACUCUCAAGCCGGUCACUGCCGUCGCGAAUCGGCAGUUGUUCCCCGGCGCGUGCAAUGUCGCGACAGUGAUUAUGUCUAUCGUGCCCUCGUCCAUCCGACCUCGAACUUGCACCGAGGAUCGCUGUUUCGAUCGCGGGGUGUAAGAACGGAACGUGCACUCCUUCCUUCGCCAAGUUGGUGCUGGCACACGUGGACAAACGGCGCGGCGAUAACGAGGGCACCGCCGGGAUUCAGUCAAUUGGUACCGCGCGUCGUCGGUGAAACGAUGAUAUUUAACUGCGACCCGCGUGAUACACAGUGACAGCCGGUGUGGAGGAAAAGGGAAGACCGGAAGACCGUCAGACCGCAGACGGAACCAGAAGUUGGAGGAUGGUGGUUUGAAAUCGACGAGACGACACCGGGAAGGCGACGCACGUGAGAGCGACUCUCUGACAGAUCCCCCCACAAGGUGAAUAGACACAACGAUGGUAGAUACACAACAUUUUUGUCUGCGAUGGAACAAUUACCAGAGCAGCAUAACCUCGGCGUUUGAAAAUCUGCGGGACGAUGAGGACUUUGUGGACGUGACGCUGGCCUGCGACGGCAAGAGCCUGAAAGCGCAUCGCGUCGUUCUCUCCGCCUGUAGUCCGUACUUCAGAGAAUUGCUCAAGAGCACACCGUGCAAACACCCAGUGAUAGUGCUCCAGGAUGUAGCGUUCAGCGACUUGCAUGCCUUAGUGGAGUUUAUAUAUCAUGGCGAGGUGAACGUGCAUCAACGUUCUCUCAGUAGUUUUCUGAAGACGGCGGAGGUCCUCAGGGUAUCGGGCCUCACGCAACAGACCGAUCAAACCGACAGAGAUGAGCUGUCGCAUGUCCGCGCGUUGGCGGCCGGCGGCAAUCACCUGCCGUUCCACGAGAAGUCCGAGGAGACUUUCCCUCGCGGCGGCUCGCCUACGCCUGUGACCCCGACGCCGACCACCGUGCAGCAGCUACUGCGCCGUGCCCAGAUACGUCGAAACGAGAGACGCACCCCGGACCCGCACGAUGAGUCGGCGAAGAGACCGCGGGUGCCGUCGCCGCCGCUCAACAAUAACGACGCCACACCCACGGACUUCUCGAUGGUCAAGAACAACCACCUGUCGACGAAGGUGGAGGGCAACGGGGUGCACGACGAGAACAGCCUCGUCGAGGAGAAUAUAAAGUGCGAACCGUUGGAGUUGACCGGUGGUAACGGCGGCGGCAACGCCGGCAACGAGGACUCGUCGGAUUCCGGCGCCGCGGCGUCGGACCGGCCGCCCGCGUCCGCGAGCAGCAACGAGCACGAGCCCGAACCGGAGCACACGUCCGCGCAGAACUUCUUGCCGGAGAGCAAGCUCUUCACGUCGACGCCCGGCAGCUUCAACUUCAGUAUGGCGGCGCUCACCACCGAUCACACGCCGUUGUCAGUGAAAUUUCCAGGGUUGGGCCACGGCUUGCAGACGCCGGAUCUAGCGGGCACUUCGCAAGGUCCACCCUCGGCGAUUCUCGCGAUGCGACUGUCGCAUCCGUUACACGGUAGCCUGCUGCCACCAGGAAUUUGCUAUACGUGCGACGUAUGCGGCAAGACUCUUUCCACGAAGCUCACUCUAAAGCGGCAUAAAGAGCAGCAGCACUUUCAACCCCUGAACAGCGCGGUCUGCGCGUUAUGCCACAAGGUGUUCAGAACGCUCAACAGCCUGAACAACCACAAGAGCAUCUACCAUCGUAGGCAGAAAUAGAAGUGAUUGCGCACGCGCGUAUCUUACGUGCCAAGAGACAUCACGAAACGAGCUUAAUAGACGCUAAAAUAAAAAAAAAAAAAAACGUUCCACGUUGUUCAUUGAUGGUCGUGCGAUCGACCAGGUUAUCGACAGCUUAUCGACAGCGUGGCCAUCCUGAGAGAAUCGCGUCGUUCUCUUCUUGAAUUCUUGCUGUUUCUAGCCAAAAAAUGAAAGGAAACAAAAAGAAAAAACGACAUCGAAUGUUGAAAAGGACUAGUGAUUUCAGCCUGUUGCUCGAUUCAUCGAUCCACAAUCAUUAUCGCGCGUAUUUAACGCUGCAUAUAACCGUCUGAUUUUAUUUUUUUAGUUUAUGUUAUCGAAAUGUGCGUGAUCUUUUGAGAGUAUUUACGUUGUCAUCCAUGGUUUCAAAUCGAUCGUAUUUAGCUAUAUUUUUUUUUUUCGCUUACAAUUUAUUAGGAUGUCGGAAGCAGAAAAACUGCGGUAUACAAUCAUCCAAAAUAAUUCAUAGCAAUUUGCCAACCCAAGCUUUAAGGAAUUAAUACGAAAGCCACGUGUAAAGUCGGUGCGAGAUGAGAAUCAGACGGACACUUUCAGCGAUAAAUAUACGGUGAAAAUUGAUACGGACCUUUGACCGGUAACGGAUUGCCGACGUUUUUUACGAGAUUUCAAACGCAAUUGUUAUGUUAUUAUCACCUGUCGAUUGUACAUCGGUCAUAAUGGGUUUGACAUUUGGGACCAUGGAAUGUGUGGGAUCUAUGGAUUCUUUUAGCCACUCGAUCAUUCGAGGAAGAUGCGAUUAUCGGAAACAACUCGGUCAUUCUUCGAGAGACAAUAGGAAUUUGCGUCGAAUGUCGCCAUUGUGUUCACGAUGUUUGUGCGUGUGUCCUUAAAAAUCUUCCACGUGUGUCUCAGCCGCUCGGCAACAAUUUUUGUAAAAAAAAAAAAAAAUAAAAAAUAAAAAAUAAAAAAAAAGUAGGGAACGUCGGUUCGCGCGCGAGAAAUCAGUGCUUCCAGAUGCGAGUGUACGUGAUAAAUAUCGUUGUCAUCGCGCGAUCUUGGAAUCGGUAGAGUACUCUGAUCGCGCCAUUAUUUUAUAUAUAUACAUGUAUAUAUUCCCAUUUUUAUUUCAUAAUUGGAAUAUUAUGACGGUGAUAUUAACGUUGAUGUCGCGCUCCCGAAUUUUCAAGGAAGUUUUUAGGAUCUAAUUAAUUGACAAAGUUGUGAUGAAAAAGAAAUGAGACUGAACGGGAGUGCAAUCAAGGUAAUUCAAAUUAGGGUUGAUUUCCCGAGUUGAUUCUAAUCGAUGCGUAAUCCUCGAGGCGUAUGUUGUUAGCAAAUCAUUUAUUCGCAACUAUCGCACGUAAUUCACGGAAGCGAUUACUUAGAUUUCGCACGUAAGAUUCGCACACGCAUACACGUAGCCGCGCACAUAUAUACGACACACACACACGCACACACACACCCACACACACACACGUACGCGCACAUACUGGCGUUAUGGUUUACGGGACCCAGUGCCAAUGGAUUAAAAUAGAGAAAAAUAAUCUUAAUUUUAUAAUUACUUGUACUUAUUUUUCUAGUGUACGUGCUUUUCGUAUGUUCUCUUGUUAUUUUCGUUAAAUUUCUGUUAAUACUGUAAGAAUAUAAAUGAUCACACGACAGAUCGGAUACAACAGACUGGAUACAUGCGAAUGCCAAUUUUAAUGUCGUUCAGGAGAUUGACAUUGGUGUAUAUAAUCUCGUUGAGUGCAAUUUCCGGCGCUACAGAUACAGCGAUUAUCGUGACUCGCGUCGUUUACCGUGAUUUCUUUCGCGAAUGAAACACGAAACUCAUUCUGUGACACAGAGAUUUGAAACUCGCCGUGAUUAUAUAUUGCUGCUUCGGUCUCGGAAAAUCGUUAGUGUGGGAUUUAAUUGUAGACGCAUUUUGGCUAAAGCUUCGGCAUAGUUUCGCGAUACGGAACAAGGUGAACACCGUUGUUCGAAACCGUGUCAAGAGCGCUUAUUGGCUAUGAAACGCGAAUUAAUUUAAGCUUUAUUAGUUAGAUCGAUAUAAAACGCGAGAAUGGGAUAUAUUAUUCGAGAAAGGCUUUUUGUGUCGAAGACACGAUCGUCCAACUAAAUAUAGGUAGAAGCGUCCAAAAAUAAAUUUCGAUAAGACUGCAAGCGAGCCUCGGGAUAGGCACAGCAUUUGAGAGUUUAAUCGUUUCGAUAUUAAAUAUUGCCCGAUUUACAUGGUUCCGAUGGUUUGAAGAGAAAUGGUUUUCGAAAAUAUGAAGAGAGAAAGAGAGAGAGAGAGAGAGAGAGAGAGAGAAAGAGAGAGAGAGAGAGAGAGAGAGAGAGAGAGAGAGAGAGAAAGAGAGAGAGAGAAAGGGGAGAUAAACACAUCUCCAAUGUAUAAUUGAAGUGUACAUGUGUAUACAUAUGUAUGUGUGUACGUAUACAUAUAUGUAUACGAUAUAUCUGUAUAUAUAUAUAUUAGAUUAAAGAGGCACGCCGAGCGUGUACGAGCUGUUGCGAGUAAUCGAAUCAUAAAUCGCAUGAGCGUAAACGAAUGAGGUAUGCGCUAUUUUCUUAAUGUAUCAUACAACGUAAUAGGCACGAAGAAGGGCUCGUAACGGAUGUGGAUUCGUUUCUGUCCAUUCGUUCAGGAAAUAGAGAAAAAUUUUUAAGAUAAUUUUCUUCUGAGAAAAGAAA